This 497-nucleotide ribosomal RNA is filed under the name uncultured bacterium. RNAcentral describes it as "partial 16S ribosomal RNA". It matches the Rfam family "Bacterial small subunit ribosomal RNA", at positions 28 to 507 of the family's 1533-position model. The record is from RNAcentral.
GAUGAACGCUGGCGGCGUGCCUAAUACAUGCAAGUCGAGCGAACAGGCGAGGAGCUUGCUCCUCUGACGUUAGCGGCGGACGGGUGAGUAACACGUGGAUAACCUACCUAUAAGACUGGGGUAACUUCGGGAAACCGGAGCUAAUACCGGAUAAUAUAUUGAACCGCAUGGUUCAAUAGUGAAAGGCGGUUUUGCUGUCACUUAUAGAUGGAUCCGCGCCGCAUUAGCUAGUUGGUAAGGUAACGGCUUACCAAGGCAACGAUGCGUAGCCGACCUGAGAGGGUGAUCGGCCACACUGGAACUGAGACACGGUCCAGACUCCUACGGGAGGCAGCAGUAGGGAAUCUUCCGCAAUGGGCGAAAGCCUGACGGAGCAACGCCGCGUGAGUGAUGAAGGUCUUCGGAUCGUAAAACUCUGUUAUUAGGGAAGAACAAAUGUGUAAGUAACUAUGCACGUCUUGACGGUACCUAAUCAGAAAGCCACGGCUAACUACGUG